CCGUGAAUCGAAUAAAGUUCGGGAUAAAAUUAUGAUGAUGACAUUAUUUAUCUUUGUGUCUUGACCAAAUUACGUGCCAGCAGUCGCGGUAAUACGUAGAAGACUAGUGUUAUUCAUCUUUAAUAGGUUUAAAGCGUACCUAGACGGUUGAUAUAACCUAAACAAGGUAUUAUAUCUGACUAGAGUUAUUUAUGUAAUGGCGCUAUAAGGUACUGUUGAGUGUAGAGAUGAAAUGCUAUUAUACCAGAUGAGUGGCACAGAUUGAGGCGAAAGCAUCGUUUUAUGUAAUAACUGACGUUGACGGACGAAGGCUAAAAUACCGAACAGGAUUAGGUACCCUAGUAGUUUAGCAGAAAAUUAUGAAUGUCAUAGGUUAGAUAACAUUUAGUCUAUAAAUGAAAGUGUAAGCAUUCCACCUCAAGAGUAAUAUGGCAACAUAGAAAUUGAAAUCAUUAGACCGUUUCUGAAACCAGUAG
Molecule: ribosomal RNA, 476 nt
Filed under: Leptogidium dendriscum
Lineage: Eukaryota; Fungi; Ascomycota; Lecanoromycetes; Peltigerales; Pannariaceae
Description: SSU rRNA
Rfam family: Bacterial small subunit ribosomal RNA
Source: RNAcentral